Armigeres subalbatus is the source of this 2232-nucleotide long non-coding RNA. RefSeq lists it as uncharacterized. The record is from RefSeq and is a predicted model, not a curated record. The transcript has 4 exons. NCBI's taxonomy places the organism in Eukaryota, Metazoa, Arthropoda, Insecta, Diptera, Culicidae.
AUAAAAAUAAACCAUAAGUGCCAUGGUGUAAACUGUAAAAAAACAAUACAAUUUAUAAGUAACAAUAAAACUUAUUGUUUUUGUAUUGUAUGAUUUUCUAAACGAAGAAUCCUGUCUAUUGUAUUUACAAUAAAAUAACAAUAAUUUAUAUUCCUUCAAUGAUGUUUAUUGUUCAUACCACGAAUUUACAGAUUUUCUUGUUGUUGUGAAAUUCAAUAGCGAUUGGUUUUGCAUUUGGGCUUUUCUUCUCACAGAAAUUUAUGCGCUUUCUAAUAGUGGAGCGUGGAGCUCUUUAUGAAUAUUUGAAAAAGCUCGAGAAGUAUUAUUCCUCAAACAGAAGCUAAAAAACAGGUAUAUUUUUCGCUGACAACGUCACUGGAUUGAUAGUCGCUGACACUGGCAAAUGAAAGGUCCCGAUACAUGACAGAAAAUACAGGUAAGAAUAUUCUCCAGAAUACCGGCAAAAUUGUUUAGUUUUACAACUUAAUAAUGUAUAAGAUUUCUCAUACAUUUUCAGAUAUUUCCAAUACCGUUUACCAGAUAAUGAGAAUCCUGCUGGCACCUGAUAAAUUAUUUGUUUUGACCUCGGUUUUGGCUUCAAAAAGGACGCGCGAGAAUUGAAAUCCAAAUAAAUAUAAAUCUAACAAACAUUUUUCCAUUGAGAUUUACGAAUAUAAAUAUCCCACUUUGAUUAUUUUUCAAUCACCGUGUGAGUGGCCUCGGUUGUGGUGUCAGUUAUUCACCAGCGUGAAGCAUUCAUGACUCGAAAUAUUCAAGAAAAUCUUCUUGUAAUUCCUAACAGAAGAUGCAGAAUAAUAGUGCAAUUUGAUUGAUUCGACGGCAGCUGGUGAUCGAGCUCCAGCAGAAACCCCAACAGAUAUUGUAAGCUGGUUAGGUUGCAACUUAAGUUUAUGUACGUUGCCAAAGAAUUCGGAUUCACAGCCAGCAGAAACAACUACAUUAAUGGCAGCCGCCGAAAGGAUUGCGCCCUCGAAAAACUGUGUAUCGACCAAUCUGCACUUUCCGGAAAUGGAAGGGACCCAGAACAGAGGCAAUUUUGACAUCAUACAACUCUCUGCAAAAUCACUUGCCGGGAUCGGCUGGAACCAGUUCGUCGUUGCUUAUCUUACUCAGAAUGUAUAAGUGAACGCUUUCAAUGCUGUACGCCUGUGAAUUCCGAGAGACGGUCAACAUGUUCAAUACGGUCCUCCAGGAGGCCAGCGAUUCAGUCAAGAAGGUGCAGAACUGAAUAGGUCAAAGAAGUCGUUCACUGAACCGUGCCAAAUUGGUACAACCGUCGUCGAGGAAUAAAAGGAAGGCAAACCGCAAACGAAUUGGCCGAAUCAGGAGGACGGUCACCUGUGGUAGAACCAAAAAAUGGUCGGCAAGUGUAUGUCCAGGAACCAAUUUAAAAAAAGAAAAAAGGGAGACGCGAUGAACUAGCCCGAAACUAUAGUAGUUUAAGCGGAUGUGUACUCCACCUUCGGUGGAAACUACAUUGCUUCACUAAAUAAUAGCAAUUACCUAAUCGCAUUAGUGUUGUGAAUCAAACUUUUCAACCAAAUGGUGCAGCGGCAAGUAGGUGGUAAGUAGGUGGAAUUAGAGUGUAUACACUACUAAAAAUCCACACAUAUUUAUUGGCAAAAAUCCAUAGAUUUAAUUUAUGAUGUAUAUCAGCGCACACAUAACCAUUCUCCACGCGAACUACUUAUAAACUAUAUAUCCAAAUAAAAUUUAUGUGUGGUCUCCAAAUAGCAAUUAUUUAAUUUAUGUGUGGUUCUAAAUCGAUUAUAUUAGGGUGGAGCUAUUGCAAAAAUUUAUAACGGCGACACAUAUAUCUUAUAUAGAUAUUUUUGGCAGUGUAGGAACUGGAACUGUGGAUGAGGACAAGGAAAAUGAGAUGAGGUAGGAAGAUUGCUGGAUAAACACAAGUUACAUGAUAGCAAGGUUUAGCAUGGAGAACUUUAUUUCCAAGAUGAUCUAGUAUGUUCCACAGAUUAUUAAUCUUGUAAUAAAACGAUAUUUAUAUAUUUUUUCAAUCAUAGUUUUUGAACAGAACUUAAGUGCAUGUUUGUCCAUAUUACUACCAUUGUCAAUUUAAAAAGUAGAACGUAUAUGAGUAAAAAUAAUAUACGACAUUAUAUUUAUUUUUUGACGUUAUGUAAUUUGUUAUUGAACCCUUAUGAGUUGUACUUAUAUUUGUAAUUAAGUAAAUAUAUAUUUAAAGUUGUG